Aphanomyces invadans is the source of this 103-nucleotide non-coding RNA. NCBI's taxonomy places the organism in Eukaryota, Oomycota, Saprolegniomycetes, Saprolegniales, Verrucalvaceae. The record is from the annotation of a RefSeq genome assembly.
GUAAUUAGCUCAAUGGUUAGAGCGCUUUAAAUAAUAAUAAAUUUAAAGAAAAAUAAAUUUUGUAACCCGAAGGUCCCCAGUUCGAUUCUGGGCAUCCAUUAUA